RNAcentral lists this ribosomal RNA (433 nucleotides) under uncultured bacterium. RNAcentral's name for it is "partial 16S ribosomal RNA". It matches the Rfam family "Bacterial small subunit ribosomal RNA", at positions 29 to 507 of the family's 1533-position model. The record is from RNAcentral.
AACGAACGCUGGCGGCAUGCCUAACACAUGCAAGUCGAACGAGACCUUCGGGUCUAGUGGCGCACGGGUGCGUAACGCGUGGGAACCUGCCCUUCGGUUCGGAAUAACUCCCCGAAAGGGGUGCUAAUACCGGAUAAUGUCUUCGGAUCAAAGAUUUAUCGCCUUUGGAUGGGCCCGCGUUGGAUUAGCUAGUUGGUAGGGUAAAAGCCUACCAAGGCGACGAUCCAUAGCUGGUCUGAGAGGAUGAUCAGCCACACUGGGACUGAGACACGGCCCAGACUCCUACGGGAGGCAGCAGUGGAGAAUAUUGGACAAUGGGCGAGUGCCUGAUCCAGCAAUGCCGCGUGAGUGAUGAAGGCGUUAGGGUUGUAAAGCUCUUUUACCCGGGAUGAUAAUGACAGUACCGGGAGAAUAAGCGCCGGCUAACUCCGUG